This 593-nucleotide long non-coding RNA is filed under the name Homo sapiens (human). Its description in RNAcentral is "HSALNT0092891". The record is from RNAcentral. Lineage: Eukaryota; Metazoa; Chordata; Mammalia; Primates; Hominidae.
GCAGCCCGCCAGGGUGUCACUGGAGACAGAAUGGAGGUGCUGCCGGACUCGGAAAUGGGGUCCAAGGGUAGCCAAGGAUGGCUGCAGCUUCAUAUGAUCAGUUGUUAAAGCAAGUUGAGGCACUGAAGAUGGAGAACUCAAAUCUUCGACAAGAGCUAGAAGAUAAUUCCAAUCAUCUUACAAAACUGGAAACUGAGGCAUCUAAUAUGAAGGUAUCAAGACUGUGACUUUUAAUUGUAGUUUAUCCAUUUUUAUUCAGUAUUCCCUCUUGUAAACUUGAGGAAGUACUUAAACAACUACAAGGAAGUAUUGAAGAUGAAGCUAUGGCUUCUUCUGGACAGAUUGAUUUAUUAGAGCGUCUUAAAGAGCUUAACUUAGAUAGCAGUAAUUUCCCUGGAGUAAAACUGCGGUCAAAAAUGUCCCUCCGUUCUUAUGGAAGCCGGGAAGGAUCUGUAUCAAGCCGUUCUGGAGAGUGCAGUCCUGUUCCUAUGGGUUCAUUUCCAAGAAGAGGGUUUGUAAAUGGAAGCAGAGAAAGUACUGGAUAUUUAGAAGAACUUGAGAAAGAGAGGUCAUUGCUUCUUGCUGAUCUUGAC